CCUACGGGAGGCAGCAGUGGGGAAUAUUGGACAAUGGGGGCAACCCUGAUCCAGCCAUGCCGCGUGUGUGAAGAAGGCCCUCGGGUUGUAAAGCACUUUCAGUGAGGAAGAACGCCUGGUGGUUAAUACCCAUCAGGAAAGACAUCACUCACAGAAGAAGCACCGGCUAACUCCGUGCCAGCAGCCGCGGUAAUGCGGAGGGUGCGAGCGUUAAUCGGAAUUACUGGGCGUAAAGCGCGCGUAGGUGGCUUGAUAAGCCGGUUGUGAAAGCCCCGGGCUCAACCUGGGAACGGCAUCCGGAACUGUCAAGCUAGAGUGCAGGAGAGGAAGGUAGAAUUCCCGGUGUAGCGGUGAAAUGCGUAGAGAUCGGGAGGAAUACCAGUGGCGAAGGCGGCCCUCUGGACUGACACUGACACUGAGGUGCGAAAGCGUGGGUAGCAAACAGGAUUAGAUACCCGAGUAGUC
This 465-nucleotide ribosomal RNA is filed under the name Vreelandella stevensii. RNAcentral describes it as "partial 16S ribosomal RNA". It matches the Rfam family "Bacterial small subunit ribosomal RNA", at positions 338 to 795 of the family's 1533-position model. The record is from RNAcentral. Lineage: Bacteria; Pseudomonadati; Pseudomonadota; Gammaproteobacteria; Oceanospirillales; Halomonadaceae.